This is a long non-coding RNA of Nannospalax galili (Upper Galilee mountains blind mole rat), 874 nucleotides long. RefSeq lists it as uncharacterized. The transcript is spliced from 4 exons. The record is from RefSeq and is a predicted model, not a curated record. Lineage: Eukaryota; Metazoa; Chordata; Mammalia; Rodentia; Spalacidae.
UCCAUCCCAACACCUGUGCAUGCUAGGCAAGUGCUCUGCCACUGAGCCACACCCCGAGCCCUUCAGUCAGGGUUUGAAAUCAGUUCCUUAACAGAUUGUGUUUCUUUUCUUUCCUUUUAUUCCUAGACUAGGUGUACAUGAGGGCUUUCGGCUGUGCUACAUCUGCUGACACCCUGUAUAUUUGUUCUGGAGUUAUAGGGCAGACACUAUAAUGUUUGUGACUGAGGAUAAACGUCAAGGAAACAACCCUUCAAAACAUGUAGGGCCUUCCAACACCGACCCAGUACACAGACCUUCAUGUGUUUUGCUUCCACUGGUGUGGUAGCUGACUUUUUGGACCUGUGUUUGAAGGUUUGUGUGUUUACUGGCUGGAGCUUGGGAUCUAUUCUAAAGAACGGAGCUUUGGCAAAUCAGUUUAGCAACUGAAAACACAUACUGUAGUCCUCAUUACACAGGCCGAUGGAAAGAGGAGCCCAGCCAGGGCUGGAGAGGUUGAGGAAGGAGUGAGAAUUGGGACCCUGGCCAGCUGGAGGGGCAGGAGAUGCUUCCUGCUCUCAGCAAUGCUUCCUGGCAACAUCUGCCCACACAGGACUUGCCUGGUCACCUCCCCUCCACAGCCAGAGCGUCGUUGUCCUUCCAAGGAUCAAGAAGCUGCCCCAAUGGAGGGCCUGAGCCUGGAUGGCAGCUGCAGAGAUGGAAAAGAAAGAGGAGAGUGCUGAGCACCAGUGAAAACCACCAGCCCAGCUAUCUCCUGAACUGGCUUCCAGCUUAGGAACUGGUGGUGCAUCCUGAGGCUAGAGCCUAGUGACUGAUGUGAGCCAUGGAGGGACCCAAAGGACCUGGAUUUUGACUAUUAGACUUUUGAAACAAUCCU